RNAcentral lists this ribosomal RNA (497 nucleotides) under uncultured bacterium. RNAcentral's name for it is "partial 16S ribosomal RNA". It matches the Rfam family "Bacterial small subunit ribosomal RNA", at positions 28 to 507 of the family's 1533-position model. The record is from RNAcentral.
GAUGAACGCUGGCGGCGUGCCUAACACAUGCAAGUCGAGCGAACAGACGAGGAGCUUGCUCCUUUGACGUUAGCGGCGGACGGGUGAGUAACACGUGGAUAACCUACCUAUAAUACUGGGAUAACUUCGGGAAACCGGAUCUAAUACCGGAUAAUAUAUCGAACCGGAUGGUUCAAUAGUGAUUGAGGGUUUUGCUGUUACUUAGAGAUGGUUCCGCGUCGGAUUAGCUAGUUGGUAAGGUAACGGCUUACCAAGGCAACGAUGCGUAGCUGACCUGAGAGGAUGAUCAGCCACACUGGAACUGAGACACGGUCCAGACUCCUACGGGAGGCAGCAGUAGGGAAUCUUCCGCAAUGGGCGAAAGCCUGACCGAGCAACGCCGCGUGAGUGAUGAAGGUCUUCGGGUCGUAAAGCUCUGUUAUUGGGGAAGAAAAACUGUGUAAUAAACUCUGCCCGUCUUGACGGUACCUAAUCAAAAAGCCACGGCUAACUUCGUG